UUCCAGACUCCUACGGGAGGCAGCAGUGGGGAAUAUUGCACAACGGGGGAAACCCUGAUGCAGCGACGCCGCGUGAGUGAAGAAGUAUUUCGGUAUGUAAAGCUCUAUCAGCAGGGAAGAAAAUGACGGUACCUGACUAAGAAGCCCCGGCUAACUACGUGCCAGCAGCCGCGGUAAUACGUAGGGGGCAAGCGUUAUCCGGAUUUACUGGGUGUAAAGGGAGCGUAGACGGCAUGGCAAGUCAGAUGUGAAAGCCCGGGGCUCAACCCCGGGACUGCAUUUGAAACUGUCAGGCUGGAGUGCAGGAGAGGUAAGUGGAAUUCCUAGUGUAGCGGUGAAAUGCGUAGGUAUUAGGAGGAACACCAGUGGCGAAGGCGGCUUACUGGACUGUAACUGACGUUGAGGCUCGAAAGCGUGGGGAGCAAACAGGAUUAGAUACCCGUGUAA
This 447-nucleotide ribosomal RNA is filed under the name uncultured bacterium. RNAcentral describes it as "bacterial SSU rRNA". It matches the Rfam family "Bacterial small subunit ribosomal RNA", at positions 329 to 793 of the family's 1533-position model. The record is from RNAcentral.